This is a non-coding RNA of Mycena epipterygia, 76 nucleotides long. NCBI's taxonomy places the organism in Eukaryota, Fungi, Basidiomycota, Agaricomycetes, Agaricales, Mycenaceae. The record is from the annotation of a GenBank genome assembly.
GGCAGAAUAGGUCAGUUGGUUUAAGAGCAUCUCACAUGAUAUGAGAAGGUCCCGGGUUCAAUCCCCAGUUCAGCCA